Molecule: non-coding RNA, 77 nt
Filed under: Lacticaseibacillus rhamnosus LOCK908
Lineage: Bacteria; Bacillati; Bacillota; Bacilli; Lactobacillales; Lactobacillaceae
Source: RNAcentral
GGAAGGCCGAAAGGUCUUCCACGACGAUACUUAUUUCCUUUGAUCGUCGUUAUUACUGGCUUCGGCCACAAAGGAGA